Long non-coding RNA from Cygnus olor (mute swan), 528 nucleotides. RefSeq lists it as uncharacterized. The transcript has 5 exons. The record is from RefSeq and is a predicted model, not a curated record. NCBI's taxonomy places the organism in Eukaryota, Metazoa, Chordata, Aves, Anseriformes, Anatidae.
GCAGAGUACUGGGAGGUUCACAGAAGACCACAGCCCGUUUCAAUUGAACACACAUGAAAUGAGAUGAAAACCUUUGCGAUACUUCUUUUAUUUUCAGUAUGGCACACGGAAGAGAAAUAGUAAAAUGAAACCAUACAGAAGAAAUAGCAUUAGCUGAAAUCCUGAGCGGCAAGAAUCAUUUUUAAGACCACAACUUCACUUGGAGGUAUAGGAGGAGGUGGAGGAAGAGAGAUGAAACAACUCAGCAAAUAGAUGGAAAUGGAAUAGAAUUGUUAUCGAUGAACAAAGCUUCUUGGGAUGUCUUUAAACCUCCUUCCACUGAAUCACUCCAAAGUAAUAGUAGAUGACUUAGACAAAUGAUCUGAGUUACUGAUUUCAUGGAUGGAGAGAAUGAGUAAGAAGCAUACUCUGUCCCUUGGCUGUCAUUCACCGCUUUACCAUAUCUGCACUCACAUUCCAGUGAAUGCGUUGAUUACUGUUCUGGAUUCUCCAUUUAAUAAACUGCAUUAAACUCUCCCUGGAAAAAAA